This 253-nucleotide ribosomal RNA is filed under the name uncultured bacterium. Its description in RNAcentral is "partial 16S ribosomal RNA". It matches the Rfam family "Bacterial small subunit ribosomal RNA", at positions 524 to 776 of the family's 1533-position model. The record is from RNAcentral.
UACAUGGGGUGCAAACGUUGCUCGGAAUUAUUGGGCGUAAAGCGCACGUAGGCGGUUCGUUAAGUCGGAUGUGAAAGCCCUCGGCUCAACUGAAGAAGUGCACCCGAAACUGGCGAGCUUGAGUACGAAAGAGGAUCGCGGAAUUCCCGGUGUAGAGGUGAAAUUCGUAGAUAUCGGGAGGAACACCGGUGGCGAAGGCGGCGAUCUGGGUCGAUACUGACGCUGAGGUGCGAAAGCGUGGGGAGCAAACAGG